Molecule: transfer-messenger RNA, 359 nt
Filed under: Candidatus Wildermuthbacteria bacterium RIFCSPHIGHO2_01_FULL_48_25
Lineage: Bacteria; Candidatus Wildermuthiibacteriota
Also listed under: 3 other names
Rfam family: transfer-messenger RNA
About the family: Bacterial tmRNA, also known as 10Sa RNA or SsrA, is named for its dual tRNA and mRNA-like properties. Its role is to liberate the mRNA from a stalled ribosome.
Source: RNAcentral
GGGGGUGAACGUUUUGACAGGACCGUGAAGGAACCAUAGGCAAGCCGAGCUUCUCGGACGCUCGCAAAACAACCGAGGGCACCAAAAAUGCCAACAUAUUCGCCCCUCAGCGGGCACCUGCUUACGCAUAAAAGCGUUUAAGCCAUCUGACUCAGGCAACUCUCGAUAGCUGAGCCGGGUGUCAAACAAUCGAGAAUCGGGACAGUUUCUGAAAAAACCCAGGGAGCUGUCCGUCAAGAAAGGGUUUAAGAGAGAAGGUUUUGCCCAGUUUACACUUCUCUCACUACCAACUGGGAUACGCUUGUAGAAUAUGUUUCUGGACUUUUCUGGACGGGAGUUCAAUCUCCCCACCUCCACAC